RNAcentral lists this ribosomal RNA (785 nucleotides) under Staphylococcus sp. MU02-14. RNAcentral describes it as "bacterial SSU rRNA". It matches the Rfam family "Bacterial small subunit ribosomal RNA", at positions 30 to 802 of the family's 1533-position model. The record is from RNAcentral. Lineage: Bacteria; Bacillati; Bacillota; Bacilli; Caryophanales; Staphylococcaceae.
GGUACCUGGCGGCGUGCCUAUACAUGCAAGUCGAGCGAACAGACGAGGAGCUUGCUCCUCUGACGUUAGCGGCGGACGGGUGAGUAACACGUGGAUAACCUACCUAUAAGACUGGGAUAACUUCGGGAAACCGGAGCUAAUACCGGAUAAUAUGUUGAACCGCAUGGUUCAAUAGUGAAAGACGGUUUUGCUGUCACUUAUAGAUGGAUCCGCGCCGCAUUAGCUAGUUGGUAAGGUAACGGCUUACCAAGGCAACGAUGCGUAGCCGACCUGAGAGGGUGAUCGGCCACACUGGAACUGAGACACGGUCCAGACUCCUACGGGAGGCAGCAGUAGGGAAUCUUCCGCAAUGGGCGAAAGCCUGACGGAGCAACGCCGCGUGAGUGAUGAAGGUCUUCGGAUCGUAAAACUCUGUUAUUAGGGAAGAACAAAUGUGUAAGUAACUAUGCACGUCUUGACGGUACCUAAUCAGAAAGCCACGGCUAACUACGUGCCAGCAGCCGCGGUAAUACGUAGGUGGCAAGCGUUAUCCGGAAUUAUUGGGCGUAAAGCGCGCGUAGGCGGUUUUUUAAGUCUGAUGUGAAAGCCCACGGCUCAACCGUGGAGGGUCAUUGGAAACUGGAAAACUUGAGUGCAGAAGAGGAAAGUGGAAUUCCAUGUGUAGCGGUGAAUGCGCAGAGAUAUGGAGGAACACCAGUGGCGAAGGCGACUUUCUGUUCUGUAACUGACGCUGAUGUGCGGAAGCGUGGGGAUCAACAGGACUAUAUACCCUGGUAUCCCCGCCG